Molecule: ribosomal RNA, 579 nt
Filed under: uncultured bacterium
Lineage: Bacteria
Description: bacterial SSU rRNA
Rfam family: Bacterial small subunit ribosomal RNA
Source: RNAcentral
ACGGGUGAGUAAUGUCUGGGGAUCUGCCCGAUAGAGGGGGAUAACCACUGGAAACGGUGGCUAAUACCGCAUAACGUCGCAAGACCAAAGAGGGGGACCUUCGGGCCUCUCACUAUCGGAUGAACCCAGAUGGGAUUAGCUAGUAGGCGGGGUAAUGGCCCACCUAGGCGACGAUCCCUAGCUGGUCUGAGAGGAUGACCAGCCACACUGGAACUGAGACACGGUCCAGACUCCUACGGGAGGCAGCAGUGGGGAAUAUUGCACAAUGGGCGCAAGCCUGAUGCAGCCAUGCCGCGUGUAUGAAGAAGGCCUUCGGGUUGUAAAGUACUUUCAGCGGGGAGGAAGGCGAUGGGGUUAAUAACCGCGUCGAUUGACGUUACCCGCAGAAGAAGCACCGGCUAACUCCGUGCCAGCAGCCGCGGUAAUACGGAGGGUGCAAGCGUUAAUCGGAAUUACUGGGCGUAAAGCGCACGCAGGCGGUCUGUUAAGUCAGAUGUGAAAUCCCCGGGCUUAACCUGGGAACUGCAUUUGAAACUGGCAGGCUUGAGUCUUGUAGAGGGGGGUAGAAUUCCAGGUGUA